RNAcentral lists this ribosomal RNA (472 nucleotides) under uncultured bacterium. RNAcentral's name for it is "partial 16S ribosomal RNA". It matches the Rfam family "Bacterial small subunit ribosomal RNA", at positions 28 to 507 of the family's 1533-position model. The record is from RNAcentral.
GACGAACGCUGGCGGCGUGCUUAACACAUGCAAGUCGAGCGGAAAGGCCCUUCGGGGUACCCGAGCGGCGAACGGGUGAGUAACACGUGAGUAAUCUGCCCUUGGCUUUGGGAUAACUACCGGAAACGGUGGCUAAUACCGGAUACGACAACCGUCUGCAUGGGCUGGUUGUGGAAAGUUUUUUCGGCCAGGGAUGUGCUCGCGGCCUAUCAGCUUGUUGGUGGGGUAAUGGCCUACCAAGGCUUCGACGGGUAGCCGGCCUGAGAGGGUGACCGGCCACACUGGGACUGAGACACGGCACAGACUCCUACGGGAGGCAGCAGUGGGGAAUAUUGGACAAUGGGCGGAAGCCUGAUCCAGCAACGCCGCGUGAGGGAUGACGGCCUUCGGGUUGUAAACCUCUUUCAGUACCGACGAAGCGCCGAUGAUGGUGGUGACGGUAGGUACAGAAGAAGCACCGGCCAACUACGUG